RNAcentral lists this ribosomal RNA (1372 nucleotides) under uncultured bacterium. RNAcentral's name for it is "bacterial SSU rRNA". It matches the Rfam family "Bacterial small subunit ribosomal RNA", at positions 28 to 1381 of the family's 1533-position model. The record is from RNAcentral.
GAUGAACGCUGGCGGCGUGCCUAAUACAUGCAAGUCGAGCGAACGGACGAGAAGCUUGCUUUUCUGAUGUUAGCGGCGGACGGGUGAGUAACACGUGGAUAACCUACCUAUAAGACUGGGAUAACUUCGAGAAACCGGAGCUAAUACCGGAUAAUAUUUUGAACCGCAUGGUUCAAAAGUGAAAGACGGUCUUGCUGUCACUUAUAGAUGGAUCCGCGCUGCAUUAGCUAGUUGGUAAGGUAACGGCUUACCAAGGCAACGAUGCAUAGCCGACCUGAGAGGGUGAUCGGCCACACUGGAACUGAGACACGGUCCAGACUCCUACGGGAGGCAGCAGUAGGGAAUCUUCCGCAAUGGGCGAAAGCCUGACGGAGCAACGCCGCGUGAGUGAUGAAGGUCUUCGGAUCGUAAAACUCUGUUAUUAGGGAAGAACAUAUGUGUAAGUAACUGUGCACAUCUUGACGGUACCUAAUCAGAAAGCCACGGCUAACUACGUGCCAGCAGCCGCGGUAAUACGUAGGUGGCAAGCGUUAUCCGGAAUUAUUGGGCGUAAAGCGCGCGUAGGCGGUUUUUUAAGUCUGAUGUGAAAGCCCACGGCUCAACCGUGGAGGGUCAUUGGAAACUGGAAAACUUGAGUGCAGAAGAGGAAAGUGGAAUUCCAUGUGUAGCGGUGAAAUGCGCAGAGAUGUGGAGGAACACCAGUGGCGAAGGCGACUUUCUGGUCUGUAACUGACGCUGAUGUGCGAAAGCGUGGGGAUCAAACAGGAUUAGAUACCCUGGUAGUCCACGCCGUAAACGAUGAGUGCUAAGUGUUAGGGGGUUUCCGCCCCUUAGUGCUGCAGCUAACGCAUUAAGCACUCCGCCUGGGGAGUACGACCGCAAGGUUGAAACUCAAAGGAAUUGACGGGGGCCCGCACAAGCGGUGGAGCAUGUGGUUUAAUUCGAAGCAACGCGAAGAACCUUACCAAAUCUUGACAUCCUUUGACAACUCUAGAGAUAGAGCCUUCCCCUUCGGGGGACAAAGUGACAGGUGGUGCAUGGUUGUCGUCAGCUCGUGUCGUGAGAUGUUGGGUUAAGUCCCGCAACGAGCGCAACCCUUAAGCUUAGUUGCCAUCAUUAAGUUGGGCACUCUAAGUUGACUGCCGGUGACAAACCGGAGGAAGGUGGGGAUGACGUCAAAUCAUCAUGCCCCUUAUGAUUUGGGCUACACACGUGCUACAAUGGACAAUACAAAGGGCAGCGAAACCGCGAGGUCAAGCAAAUCCCAUAAAGUUGUUCUCAGUUCGGAUUGUAGUCUGCAACUCGACUACAUGAAGCUGGAAUCGCUAGUAAUCGUAGAUCAGCAUGCUACGGUGAAUACGUUCCCGGGUCU